This 252-nucleotide long non-coding RNA is filed under the name Bos taurus (domestic cattle). RNAcentral's name for it is "long non-coding RNA NONBTAT025475". The record is from RNAcentral. Lineage: Eukaryota; Metazoa; Chordata; Mammalia; Artiodactyla; Bovidae.
UAACCUGAUCUUAGCUCCAACUAACAUUUUAUUAAAAUGACCUUUAGCUAUCACUUCUUUAAAAUUCAGGGCCUCGCAUAGGCUAUUUGUUAAAUGAGUUUCAUGCAAAGGAUGAACUUAACCUUCUGGUUAAUACUGGGAGUUAAAUAAUCAAACUGUCUUCUACAAGCAUCAGGUUCAGUGAGUUAUUUUUUUUAUCUUAUUUUCGCAGUUUGUUGAAUUAACCUAUUCAUCAAAAAACAGAAUAGCUGC